AGGGUGAACGCUAGCGGUGCGCCUAACACAUGCAAGUCGAGCGGGAAUACUGAGGAAGCUUGCUUUUUUAGUAUGAGAGCGGCGAACGGGUGAGUAACACGUUGGAAUAUGCCCCGAAGUCAGGGAUAGCCAUGGGAAACUGUGGGUAAUACCGGAUAGUCUCUUUGGAGUAAAAAUUUAUUGCUUUGGGAAUAGCCUGCGUUCUAUCAGCUAGUUGGUGGGGUAAGAGCCUACCAAGGCUAUGACGGAUAACUGGUCUGAGAGGAUGAUCAGUCACAAUGGAACUGAGACACGGUCCAUACUCCUACGGGAGGCAGCAGUGAGGAAUCUUCCACAAUGGGCGAAAGCCUGAUGGAGCGACACCGCGUGAAGGAAGAAGGCUUAACGGUUGUAAACUUCUUUUCUGAAGGAGCAUAAUGAGAGUACUUUAGGAAUAAGGGACGGCUAAAUACGUGCCAGCAGCCGCGGUAAUACGUAUGUCUCGAGCGUUACCCGGAAUUACUGGGUGUAAAGAGUUCGUAGGUGGAUUAUUAAGUCAGGUAUGAAAGACCGGAGCUUAACUUCGAGUUUGUGCUUGAAACUGGUAAUCUAGAAUUGGGGAGAGGUAAGUAGAAUUUUAAGUGUGAGGGGUGCAAUCCGUAGAUACUUAGAAGAAUACCAAAAGCGAAGGCAACUUACUGGAACCAUAUUGACGCUAAAGAACGAAAGCGUGGGGAGCGAAAAGGAUUAGAUACCCUUGUAGUCCACGCCCUAAACGAUGAUAACUUAGUGUUGCAUUUAGAUGCAGUGCUGAAGCUAACGCGAUAAGUUAUCCACCUGAGGAGUACGGUCGCAAGAUUAAAACUCAAAGGAAUAGACGGGGACCCACACAAGCAGUGGAUCACGUGGUUUAAUUCGAUAAUAAACGGGGAACCUUACCCAGACUUGACAUCCUAAGAAUCCAGUAGAGAUAUUGGAGUGCUCGCAAGAGAACUUAGAGACAGGUGCUGCAUGGUUGUCGUCAGCUCGUGCCUUGAGGUGUUCGGUUAAGUCCGUUAACGAGCGCAACCCAUGCCCUUAGUUAAAUUGUCUAAGGGGACUGCCUUGGUUAACAAGGAGGAAGGUGUGGAUGACGUCAAAUCAGCAUGGCUUUUACGUCUGGGGCUACACACAUGAUACAAUGGUAUGGGACAAAGAGUAGUGAACCCAAGAGGGGGAACCAAUCUAUAAAACAUAUCUCAGUCCGGAUUGGAGUCUGCAACUCGACUCCAUGAAGUUGGAAUUGCUAGUAAUCGUAAAUCAGACAUGUUACGGUGAAUGUGUUCCUGGGUCUUGUACUCACCGCCCGUCAAGGCAUGGGAGGUAGUAAUAUCGGAAGACCCCCUAGUAAUAAGGGGGUCCAUGGUAGGACUACUGACUGGGCUU
Molecule: ribosomal RNA, 1404 nt
Filed under: uncultured rumen bacterium
Lineage: Bacteria
Description: bacterial SSU rRNA
Rfam family: Bacterial small subunit ribosomal RNA
Source: RNAcentral